Molecule: ribosomal RNA, 253 nt
Filed under: uncultured bacterium
Lineage: Bacteria
Description: partial 16S ribosomal RNA
Rfam family: Bacterial small subunit ribosomal RNA
Source: RNAcentral
GACGUAGGGCGCAAGCGUUGUCCGGAUUUAUUGGGCGUAAAGAGCUCGUAGGCGGCUUGCCACGUCUGCCGUGAAAACCAGCAGCUUAACUGUUGGCUUGCGGUUGAUACGGGUUGGCUGGAGUUCGGUAGGGGAGACUGGAAUUCCUGGUGUAGCGGUGAAAUGCGUAGAUAUCAGGAGGAACACCGGCGGUGUAGACGGCUUGCUAGACCAUAACUGACGCUGAGGCACGAAAGCGUGGGUAGCAAACAGG